Non-coding RNA from Arachis ipaensis, 173 nucleotides. The record is from RefSeq and is a predicted model, not a curated record. Lineage: Eukaryota; Viridiplantae; Streptophyta; Magnoliopsida; Fabales; Fabaceae.
GUCUGAUUCGAAUAUGAUGGUUGUGAGGGAACAGACACCGUCGGAAGCGCUUGCAAUAGUCCCGAUUCAGGUUUUUGUGCCGGCAUCCCAAACAACCACUGAGACAGAUUUUGAACCAACCCCUAUGCUACAGAUUGAAGGGACUACAGAAACCACUCCUGAAACCCCAAACA